GACCUCAGGUCAGGCGGGGCUACCCGCUGAGUUUAAGCAUAUCAAUAAGCGGAGGAAAAG
Molecule: ribosomal RNA, 60 nt
Filed under: Glycine max (soybean)
Lineage: Eukaryota; Viridiplantae; Streptophyta; Magnoliopsida; Fabales; Fabaceae
Also listed under: 2 other names
Description: partial 26S ribosomal RNA
Source: RNAcentral